GUUUGUGUAGCUCAGUGGUAGAGUGCAUGCUUUGUAUGUAGGAUCUGCUGGGUUCAAUUCCCAGCUUUUCCC
Non-coding RNA from Dallia pectoralis (Alaska blackfish), 72 nucleotides. NCBI's taxonomy places the organism in Eukaryota, Metazoa, Chordata, Actinopteri, Esociformes, Umbridae. The record is from the annotation of a GenBank genome assembly.